GAUGAACGCUGGCGGCGUGCUUAACACAUGCAAGUCGAACGAAGCGCCUUGGACAGAUUCUUCGGAUGAAGUCUUUGGUGACUGAGUGGCGGACGGGUGAGUAACGCGUGGGUAACCUGCCUCAUACAGGGGGAUAACAGUUAGAAAUGGCUGCUAAUACCGCAUAAGCGCACGGUACUGCAUGGUACAGUGUGAAAAACUCCGGUGGUAUGAGAUGGACCCGCGUUGGAUUAGCUAGUUGGCAGGGUAACGGCCUACCAAGGCGACGAUCCAUAGCCGGCCUGAGAGGGUGGACGGCCACAUUGGGACUGAGACACGGCCCAGACUCCUACGGGAGGCAGCAGUGGGGAAUAUUGCACAAUGGGGGAAACCCUGAUGCAGCGACGCCGCGUGAGCGAAGAAGUAUUUCGGUAUGUAAAGCUCUAUCAGCAGGGAAGAAAAUGACGGUACCUGACUAAGAAGCCCCGG
Molecule: ribosomal RNA, 468 nt
Filed under: uncultured bacterium
Lineage: Bacteria
Description: bacterial SSU rRNA
Rfam family: Bacterial small subunit ribosomal RNA
Source: RNAcentral